This 467-nucleotide ribosomal RNA is filed under the name uncultured bacterium. RNAcentral describes it as "partial 16S ribosomal RNA". It matches the Rfam family "Bacterial small subunit ribosomal RNA", at positions 28 to 506 of the family's 1533-position model. The record is from RNAcentral.
GACGAACGCUGGCGGCGUGCUUAACACAUGCAAGUCGAACGGAAAGGCCCUGCUUUUGUGGGGUGCUCGAGUGGCGAACGGGUGAGUAACGCGUGAGUAACCUGCCCUUGACUUUGGGAUAACUUCAGGAAACUGGGGCUAAUACCGGAUAGGAGCUCCUGCUGCAUGGUGGGGGUUGGAAAGUUUCGGCGGUUGGGGAUGGACUCGCGGCUUAUCAGCUUGUUGGUGGGGUAGUGGCUUACCAAGGCUUUGACGGGUAGCCGGCCUGAGAGGGUGACCGGCCACAUUGGGACGGAGAUACGGCCCAGACUCCUACGGGAGGCAGCAGUGGGGAAUAUUGCACAAUGGGCGGAAGCCUGAUGCAGCAACGCCGCGUGCGGGAUGACGGCCUUCGGGUUGUAAACCGCUUUCGCCUGUGACGAAGCGUGAGUGACGGUAAUGGGUAAAGAAGCACCGGCUAACUACGU